This 500-nucleotide ribosomal RNA is filed under the name uncultured Psychrobacter sp. Its description in RNAcentral is "bacterial SSU rRNA". It matches the Rfam family "Bacterial small subunit ribosomal RNA", at positions 116 to 614 of the family's 1533-position model. The record is from RNAcentral. Lineage: Bacteria; Pseudomonadati; Pseudomonadota; Gammaproteobacteria; Moraxellales; Moraxellaceae.
CUUAGGAAUCUACCUAGUAGUGGGGGAUAGCUCGGGGAAACUCGAAUUAAUACCGCAUACGACCUACGGGAGAAAGGGGGCAACUUGUUGCUCUCGCUAUUAGAUGAGCCUAAGUCGGAUUAGCUAGAUGGUGGGGUAAAGGCCUACCAUGGCGACGAUCUGUAGCUGGUCUGAGAGGAUGAUCAGCCACACCGGGACUGAGACACGGCCCGGACUCCUACGGGAGGCAGCAGUGGGGAAUAUUGGACAAUGGGGGAAACCCUGAUCCAGCCAUGCCGCGUGUGUGAAGAAGGCCUUUUGGUUGUAAAGCACUUUAAGCAGUGAAGAAGACUCUUCGGUUAAUACCCGGAGACGAUGACAUUAGCUGCAGAAUAAGCACCGGCUAACUCUGUGCCAGCAGCCGCGGUAAUACAGAGGGUGCAAGCGUUAAUCGGAAUUACUGGGCGUAAAGCGAGCGUAGGUGGCUUGAUAAGUCAGAUGUGAAAUCCCCGGGCUUAACC